UACGUAGGGGGCAAGCGUUAUCCGGAUUUACUGGGUGUAAAGGGAGCGCAGACGGUUGUACAAGUCUGAAGUGAAACCCCACGGCUCAACUGUGGGCUUGCUUUGGAAACUGUGUAACUUGAGUGCCGGAGGGGUAAGCGGAAUUCCCGGUGUAGCGGUGAAAUGCGUAGAUAUCGGGAAGAACACCGGUGGCGAAGGCGGCUUACUGGACGGCAACUGACGUUGAGGCUCGAAGGCGUGGGGAG
RNAcentral lists this ribosomal RNA (245 nucleotides) under uncultured Butyrivibrio sp. Its description in RNAcentral is "partial 16S ribosomal RNA". It matches the Rfam family "Bacterial small subunit ribosomal RNA", at positions 524 to 768 of the family's 1533-position model. Lineage: Bacteria; Bacillati; Bacillota; Clostridia; Lachnospirales; Lachnospiraceae. The record is from RNAcentral.